UACGGGGGGGGCAAGCGUUGUUCGGAAUUACUGGGCGUAAAGGGCUUGUAGGUGGCCAACUAAGUCCGACGUGAAAUCCCUAGGCUUAACCUAGGAACUGCGUCUGAUACUGGCGAGCUUGAGUGCAGGAGAGGAACGCGGAAUUCCAGGUGUAGCGGUGAAAUGCGUAGAUAUCUGGAGGAACACCGGUGGCGAAGGCGGCGUUCUGGACUGCAACUGACACUGAGAGACGAAAGCCAGGGGAGCAAACGGG
This 253-nucleotide ribosomal RNA is filed under the name uncultured bacterium. Its description in RNAcentral is "partial 16S ribosomal RNA". It matches the Rfam family "Bacterial small subunit ribosomal RNA", at positions 524 to 776 of the family's 1533-position model. The record is from RNAcentral.